AUUUUACGUUUUGGGUAUAUGUACGGAAAUUUAUGUAUCUUAGUAAGACCCAAAAUAUUGGUGCCAUCUGCAGAAAGAAAAAUCCUGAAAGGAAAUGUCGUCAUCGUCAUUUCAGCGUAUUUUUUUUUUGUGGGUUUUACCUGUAUUGAGUAAUUCAUGUUACCGGUAUUUUAUGUGUAGCAGUGUAAGACGUGAAAAAUGGAUAUGAAUGCAGAGGAACUAACACUUCAGUAUUCACCGAGCCUCUGGUCACAGCGGUUUCAAGAUUCUGCAGCUGUAAUAGACAAUCACAUCAAAGUCAUCACCACAGGUUGUUAUUCAUGUUUAUUAUGGGUGUUCGAGUAAUUGCAAGAUUUACAAUAUUUAUUUUUCUCUCUUGAGUAAUUUUCUGCCAGAUACUCUAAAUCUUAAAAUAAGCACAUUAACUGAAAUAGUAGCAUGGUCACAAAUUGUAGUUAAACAAGAGAACACUAGUUACAACUAUAGACUGACUUAAUCCUUUCAAGCACAGUAGUGUCACGUCUCUUUAUUUAACAUUAAAUAACUCAACAUUUUAGCCAUAGAUUGUAUUUUUAUAUGUUCUGUAUAAUUCUCAGAAUGGUGAUGAUAUCCACAGGGAAUAUUAACUGAUUUGUCUUCAUACUGGCAACAGUUUUCUAUGAGAUGGGGACUAAAUAUGUAAACAUUUACUUGAAUUUCAGACUUCAAAAGGGUAAUCUGGUGGUUGCAUUUGUGCUAAUAAUGAAAGUAUGGGACACAUUUUAAUGUUGUUGUAAGUGAAUAAAACAGAAUGUUUCUGUUUCCUUAUGCAAAUAUUUUAUUAUAAUGAUAUAAUAGCACUGAAAUUUCAAGUAAUGGCAGUGUUUCCAUUUAUGGCACAUAGUUAUCAUUUCUCCGGUAAUUUAUUACAUACUGAGCUCAUUAACCCCUCAAGCAUGUGUGACACACCAUAUGCAUCCACUCAGUUACAUGCAUCUAGCGUGAAUUUAAGCGGGUGUAUUUAAAUUCCUCCCGGUGCUUUAUUUUCGCAAGCAUUGAAGGUUUUGUGCAGACAUUUACCUAAAUAUUUUUAAAUCUAAAUGUACUUCAAUCGGUUUUUCCCUUUAAAAGUAGUCUCAAGAAAAAAAGGUAAUAAAUUAUGCUGGAUUACUAAAGGUAUAAAAGUUUCUAGACAGAAGCUUCAGUUGCUGCGUUUGUUAAAAAGAAAGCUGAUUUUAUCUGCUUCUGCAUUAAAUUAUAUAAAAAAUACCAGAGUACCUAUAAAAAGAUCUUAUUCACUGCUCGAAAACGUGCAAAUGACCGUAUUAUUGCAAAUUCUAGUAAUCGUACAAAGGCCUUAUGGAAUAUAAUA
Molecule: long non-coding RNA, 1351 nt
Organism: Cryptotermes secundus
Lineage: Eukaryota; Metazoa; Arthropoda; Insecta; Blattodea; Kalotermitidae
Exons: 2
Source: RefSeq, a predicted model, not a curated record